RNAcentral lists this ribosomal RNA (253 nucleotides) under uncultured bacterium. RNAcentral's name for it is "partial 16S ribosomal RNA". It matches the Rfam family "Bacterial small subunit ribosomal RNA", at positions 524 to 776 of the family's 1533-position model. The record is from RNAcentral.
GACAGAGGUGCCGAGCGUUAGGCGGAAUCACUGGGCUUAAAGCGUGUGUAGGCGGACUUCUAAGUACCUUGUGAAAUCCCACGGCUCAACCGUGGAACUGCUCGGUAUACUGGUUGUCUUGAGCCACUUAGGGGCAGUCGGAACAGACGGUGGAGCGGUGAAAUGCGUAGAUAUCGUCUGGAACGCCAAAGGUGGAAACAGACUGCUGGGAGUGUGCUGACGCUGAGACACGAAAGCCAGGGGAGCAAACGGG